RNAcentral lists this ribosomal RNA (403 nucleotides) under uncultured bacterium. RNAcentral's name for it is "partial 16S ribosomal RNA". It matches the Rfam family "Bacterial small subunit ribosomal RNA", at positions 29 to 526 of the family's 1533-position model. The record is from RNAcentral.
AGUGAACGCUGGCGGCGUGCCUAAUACAUGCAAGUCGAACGAAGUUGGCACGGGGGAGUAAUCUAUAGUUAAUCUCCCUACACAGAGGACAACAGUUAGAAAAGACUGCUAAACCUAUAUUGUAGGAUGAGACUAUAUCUUAUCAGCUAGUUGUUAAGGUAAUGGCUUACCAAGUCUAUGACGCGUAACUGGUCUGAUAUGAUGAUCAGUAACAUGGGAACUGAGACACGGACGAGACUCCUACGGGAGGCAGCAGUAGGGAAUCUUCGGCAAUGGACGAAAGUCUGACCGAGCAACGCCGCGUGAGUGAAGAAGGUUUUCGGAUCGUAAAACUCUGUUGUUAGAGAAGCGGUAUCUAACCAGAAAGCCACGGCUAACUACGUGCCAGCAGCCGCGGUAAUUC